Mycena latifolia is the source of this 93-nucleotide non-coding RNA. The record is from the annotation of a GenBank genome assembly. NCBI's taxonomy places the organism in Eukaryota, Fungi, Basidiomycota, Agaricomycetes, Agaricales, Mycenaceae.
GACCCAGUGGCGAAAUGGUUUCGCGUCCGCCCACUUUGCAAAACCGGAAACGCAUUUCCGCGGAAGACACCCGUUCGAUUCGGGUCUGGGUCA